UACGGGGGGAGCAAGCGUUGUUCGGAUUUACUGGGCGUAAAGGGCGUGCAGGCGGUCUGUUAAGUUCAGGGUGAAAGCUCCCGGCUCAACUGGGAGAGGUCCUUGGAUACUGGCAGACUUGAGGAGGGUAGAGGAGAGUGGAAUUCCCGGUGUAGUGGUGAUAUGCGUAGAUAUCGGGAGGAACACCAGUGGCGAAGGCGGCUCUCUGGGCCCUACCUGACGCUGAGACGCGAAAGCGUGGGGAGCGAACCGG
Molecule: ribosomal RNA, 253 nt
Filed under: uncultured bacterium
Lineage: Bacteria
Description: partial 16S ribosomal RNA
Rfam family: Bacterial small subunit ribosomal RNA
Source: RNAcentral